Molecule: long non-coding RNA, 237 nt
Filed under: Rattus norvegicus (Norway rat)
Lineage: Eukaryota; Metazoa; Chordata; Mammalia; Rodentia; Muridae
Description: long non-coding RNA NONRATT015230
Source: RNAcentral
UCCGGUGUAGGCUGUCGCUUGGCCCUGUGGCAUCCGUUUGCCCUGCGUCUGGCGGGUGCCGGGCCAUCCACUGGAGGACGCGGACGCCGCGGUAGUCAAGCCAUAAUGGAACAGUUAACCUUCAGGGAUGUGGCCAUUGAUUUCUCUGGAGAGGAAUGGGAGUGUCUGAACUCUGAACAGCAGAAUCUAUAUACAGAUGUGAUGUUGGAAAACUAUAGGAACCUCGUCUUCCUGGGU